This 1870-nucleotide ribosomal RNA is filed under the name Escherichia coli. Its description in RNAcentral is "partial 23S ribosomal RNA". It matches the Rfam family "Bacterial large subunit ribosomal RNA", at positions 1 to 1898 of the family's 2925-position model. Lineage: Bacteria; Pseudomonadati; Pseudomonadota; Gammaproteobacteria; Enterobacterales; Enterobacteriaceae. The record is from RNAcentral.
GUUAAGCGACUAAGCGUACACGGUGGAUGCCCUGGCAGUCAGAGGCGAUGAAGGACGUGCUAAUCUGCGAUAAGCGUCGGUGAGGUGAUAUGAACCGUUAUAACCGGCGAUUUCCGAAUGGGGAAACCCAGUGUGUUUCGACACACUAUCAUUAACUGAAUCCAUAGGUUAAUGAGGCGAACCGGGGGAACUGAAACAUCUAAGUACCCCGAGGAAAAGAAAUCAACCGAGAUUCCCCCAGUAGCGGCGAGCGAACGGGGAGGAGCCCAGAGCCUGAAUCAGUGUGUGUGUUAGUGGAAGCGUCUGGAAAGGCGCGCGAUACAGGGUGACAGCCCCGUACACAAAAAUGCACAUAUUGUGAGCUCGAUGAGUAGGGCGGGACACGUGGUAUCCUGUCUGAAUAUGGGGGGACCAUCCUCCAAGGCUAAAUACUCCUGACUGACCGAUAGUGAACCAGUACCGUGAGGGAAAGGCGAAAAGAACCCCGGCGAGGGGAGUGAAAAAGAACCUGAAACCGUGUACGUACAAGCAGUGGGAGCCUCUUUAUGGGGUGACUGCGUACCUUUUGUAUAAUGGGUCAGCGACUUAUAUUCUGUAGCAAGGUUAACCGAAUAGGGGAGCCGAAGGGAAACCGAGUCUUAACUGGGCGUUAAGUUGCAGGGUAUAGACCCGAAACCCGGUGAUCUAGCCAUGGGCAGGUUGAAGGUUGGGUAACACUAACUGGAGGACCGAACCGACUAAUGUUGAAAAAUUAGCGGAUGACUUGUGGCUGGGGGUGAAAGGCCAAUCAAACCGGGAGAUAGCUGGUUCUCCCCGAAAGCUAUUUAGGUAGCGCCUCGUGAAUUCAUCUCCGGGGGUAGAGCACUGUUUCGGCAAGGGGGUCAUCCCGACUUACCAACCCGAUGCAAACUGCGAAUACCGGAGAAUGUUAUCACGGGAGACACACGGCGGGUGCUAACGUCCGUCGUGAAGAGGGAAACAACCCAGACCGCCAGCUAAGGUCCCAAAGUCAUGGUUAAGUGGGAAACGAUGUGGGAAGGCCCAGACAGCCAGGAUGUUGGCUUAGAAGCAGCCAUCAUUUAAAGAAAGCGUAAUAGCUCACUGGUCGAGUCGGCCUGCGCGGAAGAUGUAACGGGGCUAAACCAUGCACCGAAGCUGCGGCAGCGACACUAUGUGUUGUUGGGUAGGGGAGCGUUCUGUAAGCCUGUGAAGGUGGCCUGUGAGGGUUGCUGGAGGUAUCAGAAGUGCGAAUGCUGACAUAAGUAACGAUAAAGCGGGUGAAAAGCCCGCUCGCCGGAAGACCAAGGGUUCCUGUCCAACGUUAAUCGGGGCAGGGUGAGUCGACCCCUAAGGCGAGGCCGAAAGGCGUAGUCGAUGGGAAACAGGUUAAUAUUCCUGUACUUGGUGUUACUGCGAAGGGGGGACGGAGAAGGCUAUGUUGGCCGGGCGACGGUUGUCCCGGUUUAAGCGUGUAGGCUGGUUUUCCAGGCAAAUCCGGAAAACCAAGGCUGAGGCGUGAUGACGAGGCACUACGGUGCUGAAGCGACAAAUGCCCUGCUUCCAGGAAAAGCCUCUAAGCAUCAGGUAACAUCAAAUCGUACCCCAAACCGACACAGGUGGUCAGGUAGAGAAUACCAAGGCGCUUGAGAGAACUCGGGUGAAGGAACUAGGCAAAAUGGUGCCGUAACUUCGGGAGAAGGCACGCUGAUAUGUAGGUGAAGCGACUUGCUCGUGGAGCUGAAAUCAGUCGAAGAUACCAGCUGGCUGCAACUGUUUAUUAAAAACACAGCACUGUGCAAACACGAAAGUGGACGUAUACGGUGUGACGCCUGCCCGGUGCCGGAAGGUUAAUUGAUGGGGUUAGCGGUAA